Molecule: non-coding RNA, 6100 nt
Organism: Chelonoidis abingdonii (Abingdon island giant tortoise)
Lineage: Eukaryota; Metazoa; Chordata; Testudines; Testudinidae
Source: RefSeq, a predicted model, not a curated record
UCUUCUAAUCUUCUCUCUCUCUCUCUUUUAACCAUUUCUCAUGUCAUGCGAUCAGGUGACUCACUAAAAUCUGAUUAUAAAGUAUUACAAAAUCUCUUACUUGAUGAUGUAUAUAAACUCCCUAGUGUAAGGCAGAAAUUCGGUGGUGAAGUAAAGUGCAGACCUCAUCCCAGAAUUAGCUACUACAGGCACCACCAAUUUCUUUUUGAAGACAAGAUCCUGCAGUUAGAAGAACAUGGCAAGUCUGAACUGGAGUUAUCAAGGCAACAAUGGACCCGACCAGUGGCACAAAUUAUACCCUAUUGCCAAUGGAAACCAUCAGUCCCCUAUUAACAUUAAAACCAAGGAAGUCAAAAAAGAUCCAUCUCUGGGGCAUCUCAAGAUCACCUGGAAUUUGAGCACCUCCAAAGAGAUUGUCAAUGUUGGACACUCCUUCCAUGUGAACUUUGAGGACAAGGAUAACCGAUCAGUGGUGACCGGUGGACCUCUGACUGGAAACUACAGGCUACAUCAGUUUCACUUUCACUGGGGCCAGACUGACGAUCAUGGCUCUGAGCACACUGUGGACGGAGAAAAAUAUGCCUCAGAGCUUCACCUGGUUCACUGGAAUUUAGACAAAUAUUCAAGUUUUGCUGAAGCUUCAGAUAAGCCUGAUGGUUUGUCAAUCAUUGCCGUUUUUCUGAAGGUUGGUCCCCCCAAUGAACAUGUGCAGGACAUUGUGAAGGCAGUCGGCUCGAUAAAGACUAAGGGUAAAAAAGCUCCAUUUACUAAUUUUGACCCAUCAACUUUACUUCCUGGAUCCUUGGAUUACUGGACCUAUUCUGGCUCUUUGACUCAUCCUCCCCUUUUUGAGAGCGUCACCUGGAUUAUCUAUAAGGAGCCCAUUACUAUCAGUUCAGAGCAGCUGGCCCAAUUCCGCAGCCUCACAUUGACCAAUCAUCGACUUCCCCAGCCUUUGAAGGGCAGACAAGUGAGAACCUAAUUCCAGCUCCUGAAAGAUCCUCAUCUUGCCACUUAUAACUGUGAAACCUGAUUGAAGAGGUCUGCACAGAUAUUCAUUACCCUCCUUAUCAUGGUAAAGCAUGAUGAUCCCUGUCACUACAAGAAUAUGCAUGGAGUGAUCACAAAAUCUUGUUCUAUUGAGUCAACUGAGAGGAACAAGGCAGUUCACAUCUCCCAGAGCUAUUGUCUCAAUCUGUCUACAGAGUCAAGAACACAGCACUCCAUUGGUUUACAUGUUUCCUGUUUUUAAGGUUUUCUUCACAGUCAUGAGGCCUAGAAGAAUUUUUUUAAAUGAACGCUUACAUACCAAGGCAAGGGAUCCAGAGCAGAUUAUGCGGUCAUGGAAUUGUAGAAUGCAUAGACACUUCUCUGUGCUAGGUGCUGUACAAACACAGAACAAAAGGAUGGUCUCUGCCCCCAAACAGUUUACAAUCGAAGUGUAAGGAAACAGACAACAGAUGGAUACAGACAGACAGAGAAUUACACGGAAACAGUGAGACGAUAUUGGCCAACCUGAUAGGCAGUGGUAUCAGUGCACCAGUAGCCCAACCGUUGUCAAGGUUUUUUUGUAGGGAUCAGAGCAUAGGUGAGUUUUGAGGAGCAUUUUGCAGGGGGAUAAUGACUUAGUUUCAUGGAUGUUUGUGGUGAGCUACUCCCACACGUGAGGGCAGCAUCGGAGAAAUCACAAAGGUGCUUGUUUUAAAAUUAAUAAGUAGACAACAGAGGCUGGCAUUGAGCCAAUUGGAGCAAAUGAGAGAUGAUAGGCAGAGUGGGAGUCGGGGCCAUGAAACAGUAGUUUGUUUGAUGAGCUGGAGAAGGGGAAGACAAUGGAAGCAUACAAAGGCAGAGGCGACAUGGCCAAAGUGAUGGCUAAGAACAUGAUCUUUGCAGCAGCAUUGUGAAUGGAUAUGAAUGGGACAAGACUGCAUUUGUCAAGGCCAGAGAGAAGGAUUUUACCACAAUAGAGACACAAGAUGAUCAGAGCUUGGACAAGUGUUUUAGCUGAGUGGAUGGAUAGGGAAGGCUGUAUCUUGGAGACGUUAUGCAGAAAAAAUAGACAAGAUUUAGAUCUAGUCUGGAGAUGAGGAUCUAGAGAGACGUCCAAGUUGAAGAUGAUGCUCAGGGUAUAGGCCUGAUUUACAGACAGGAUGGUGGUGUUGUCUACAGUGAUAAAGGAGAUGUGGAGGAGGAGCUUGGGGAAUGGACUGGGGCUGCAGAGGUUUUUGGGUGACAGACCCCAUGGUAUAGGAACAGUCCAACACCCACACCCUAGUGGGGACAGCUCCCAGCGUGUGGGGCCCCAGUUAAUGGAAAGCACAGAACCUCUGCCCUGCAUGAAGCCACCUGGGUUGGGACCACUGAUCCCCCUCACACAGGGGGCAGUGGUUUCCUUUCCACCGGACAGAAUGGGAGUCUCCUCACCUUGGCCCCUGAACCCCCAGCCUGGCUCUGCCUCACACCUUGCCCACCCGCCACUGCCAGCUCCCAGCAUGGCUUCCUGUAUUCCACAUCCCCAGUCCAUCCCAGACUGCACACUCUGCCCAGCCACUUGCACCCCAAUCCCUCCCAGCCUGUACCACUUGCCCAGCCACCCACAGUCCACACCCCCAGCUCCUCCUGUAUCCUCCCACCACCCCCACACACACUCUGCACCCCCAGCGUGCAUCCCUCACCCGCUGCCCAGCCCACAUCCCCGCAUUCCACAUCUCUAGUCUGCACCCCCCAACUGGCCCUCUGUAACCCCUGCACCUUUCUGGAUGCAUUCUUCACUGUCGGACUUGCAGCAUUUGCAGUGGUAGCACCUUCAGAUCCUGGACACAGUGGAGUUGAAGUGGGAGCCAGGGCUGACAUGGAGCUGGAUGGGUUGCUGCAGGGGCCAAAGCCCCUGCAGCAGUUGCAGUGCCAGUAGGAGUAGCUCUGAGUUGCUCAGCGAUGAGUCAUGGCCAUGGCGGUGAACUUACUUGUGCUGGGGUUGGGGAGUAGUAGCGUUUCCCCAGCAGCCCAAGUGAGGGUUGCUUCUUGCUCCUUGGAGCCCUGGCUGGUGGCUGAUCUCUCCCAAAGGCAGUACUGCCAGCAUCAUCCCUUGCCACUGCAGGCAACUGCCUAGUCUGCCUAUAGCUAGAGCAGCCUAUGCUCAUCCCUCUGCCCCUUUACCAAAGUAUGGUUCUAUUUUAGAACUUCAUCCUGCACUUUUCGUAGAUUCAUAGUUUCCAAGGCCAGAAGGAACCAUUUUGAUCAUCUAGCCUGUCCUCCUCUACAGCACAGGCCACAGAACUUCUCCAAAAUAAUUCACAGAGCAGAACUAUUAGAAAAACAUCUACUCUUUCAUACAUUGUUCCAUUGGUUAAUGCCUGCUUUCUCUGUCGGUAAAAGCUGCAGGACCUGAUCCAGAGAAAGUGAUCUGCUUGAUGGGGUCAUUUAGGCAGAGCCUUUUAAAGGGUUGUGAGAAGAUGCAUUACCCCUGGAGGAGCACCGAGAAACAUUCUGCUGGAGUGAGCAUGCUCCUGGACUGCCAUCUAAUAGGGUGCAGCUUUCUUUCCCCCCCCGUUCCUGCACAGCUGGGCAGCUCUACUGGCAGCUGUACUGGGAGUGGAACCAUGGCCAUGCCUCCUUCCCACCCUCAGUGGGGCAUCAUGCACCCACGAGAAGAGAAGGAAGCAGAACCUGCAUUGCCAUGAGCUCAGGGACUUGAAUUCUGCAUGGUCCAUACAAAGGGAGAGAGACAUUGUGACUCUACCCUCUCCCUCCCCUCCACACAUCCACAGAAAAGCAACGGUCCUACAAAAAUAUGAGCUGUAAAGGCCAGGUUCUGCCUGGCAUUGUUGCAGCUGCAGAGCCUGAGGAAGGGAAGGUUCUAGGGGUCUUCACUACUUUGUGUAGCCCACAAAGGUACCAAACCAAACUGCAGACCCUACACUCCGCAAAGGAACUGCUCCCCCACCUUCCUCCCCUGCAGGAGCACAGUACCUCAAAGGGGCUGGGAGGCAGUGGAACUCCCCUGCCCCCACAUCAGCAGGCAGCAGAGAUGACUGGAUGCAAGACAGGUAACAGGACACAACCUACAAAAGGGUGCAGUAGUGGCACAGUUGAGCUCCAAGUGCUAUUUUACCAUUCUGUUAAAUAAAAAUAGUGGGCUAGAUUCUGGCCAUGACUAUGCACCACCAGUGUGGUAAAGAAAGGUUAAAGGGGCUUUAAAGCCCAUUUAAUCAGCUUCUGGGGAUUCCCUCAGUGUAAUGAAAUUCCCAACUGCUGAAGCAUUGGCACAGCUAACUCCACACCAACACUCUCACAGGCCUCAACAUGGAGGCAUGUUAGGGGAAGGACUAGUGGAAAAGGAAGGUGGCUGGACUGCACUCUUGAUCCAGCAUCUCCAGCUGCUGAAAAAGCUCCUUGGAGGUUGGGGCUACCAGGCCCAAGUAACAACAGUCUUGAGGCUGCUCUAAAUUGUGUUGGCAUUGGAAAUGACCUUUGACAGCCCUGAGAAUCAUAAAGCUCCCCUGCCUCACUCAGGUCCUGGAGCCAAGGGUCUGUUUAAUUCUGAAAAUAAAAGUCUUGUGGCAACCAGCCACCCAGCUACAUGUUGUUCCUAACAGCUCCAGUUCUCAGCAAAUGCUCUUCAUCUUUUGGGUGGCUGCACAUUUUAUACUUCUCGGUAUCAAGUACCAAACACAGAAGGAGGCCAACACAAUCACUAUAGCUAACAAAGCCACUGCUAAGAGGCAGAGGAGGUCCAUGUUUUAGAAUUGCCUGCUCAGUUGCAGUAUGUCUCAGCAACUAAAAGGGCACCACAAUAUUUUAGACGCAUUGUACUAAAAUAAAGAGUGCCAACUAUUGGAUGACUUAAUACUGCCCAAGACACUUCACUUAGAUCCAGUUGACAAUAUCUACUCUAGACUUAUUUUCAACUACUUUGUCUUCAGAUUGAUCACAAACUAGAGUUGAGAAGCAAAUGCUGAAACUGAACCACAAGCUUGGCUGUAGGCAUCUAGGCAAAUCUGUAGGCUGUCAACAAACUCGUUUAUUCAGUGGGAAGUACAAGACACAUUGACAAUAUCUGUUUUUAUUUGAUAAAAUCCUUACAAAUAUCAAACCACUGUAUCCGCUCCACUAUUUAUUUUCAAUGCAGGAAAAACAGCUAAAACUUAUUUUAUUUCUAAUAUGAACACACACAGUAGUAGCCUCAUUAUUCCUGUCCUCAGGCAAAUCAGUUCUUUAUCGCCCUUUACAUAAUGUGUAAACUUCAUUCAUCAUGUUCUGCAGCUACUCACACGACAGGGAAACAUACCAGAUGCAACAUCAGAUCAAAAAAGAAAGUGAAAAAAACACACAUAUGCCAGCAAUUAUACUCUACACAUAUUCUUGUCAUUUGAAUGAGACCAUACUCAAGACUUUUUAUAUCUACCUGGGUCCUCCUGCCUAUCCCGGUUAGUGGGGACUGAAAAAAAAAGUGCCUGCAGGUUUUACAUUUGGCCAUUCUUGUCCACAGGUCCUCCUGCUGCAUUGGCUCUACUGCUUCUCCCAUAGCCAGUUUUCUUUUUCUCACUGCUCAAAAUACUAUAUUGCAGUGAGAGGACCUGCAGUAACAGAAGCAACUUAAGCUCCCCUUUAGAGGAGGCACUCUACUGGAGUGGAGGAGAGAACAAUAAGACUUACUUAUCUAUCUAUCUGUCUAAACAACCUAUUUAUUUAUAGAGGAAUACAAGGGACAUGGGAAUCUCUGCAAGGUUGGCCUUGCUUGUAUGGUAUCCUCUCAAUUUUCCGCUCCUGGAGGAUGGGUGACAAUACUAAUGGAGGAGGCAAGAGGGGUAGCCUACAAAACCUACAGUCCUAGGCAUCUUGGAGAAAGAAAUAGUCGCGUGGAAGGGUGGCUUUUCCCUCCAUGUGGCUGCUCUGACACUUCCUCCCAAUCCUGCAGGAGUUGUGUGGCCACUGCCUGAUUCUCCCUUGGCUUCACAGUUACAGCCCUGAAGAGAGUCAGGGGGAGUUACCACCACUUCACACGGCAUUAAAUCCUGAUUGGAUUUUUGAGCAGAAAUCCACAGGCUCAACAGGGAAGGUGCUGUAGAGAGUGGCUGGUCCUUUGCUCCACUCCCAUCAA